This 628-nucleotide ribosomal RNA is filed under the name uncultured bacterium. RNAcentral describes it as "bacterial SSU rRNA". It matches the Rfam family "Bacterial small subunit ribosomal RNA", at positions 1 to 682 of the family's 1533-position model. The record is from RNAcentral.
UAGAGUUUGAUCAUGGCUCAGAACGAACGCUGGCGGCUGGCCUAACACAUGCAAGUCGAACGAAGCCUUCGGGCUUAGUGGCGGACGGGUUAGUAACGCGUGGGAACGUGCCCUUCACUACGGAAUAGUCCCGGGAAACUGGGUUUAAUGCCGUAUACGCCCUUCGGGGGAAAGAAUUUCGGUGAGGGAUCGGCCCGCGUUAGAUUAGAUAGUUGGUGGGGUAAUGGCCUACCAAGUCUACGAUCUAUAGCUGGUUUUAGAGGAUGAUCAGCAACACUGGGACUAAGACACGGCCCAGACUCCUACGGGAGGCAGCAGUGGGGAAUCUUGGACAAUGGGCGCAAGCCUGAUCCAGCCAUGCCGCGUGAGUGAUGAAGGCCUUAGGGUCGUAAAGCUCUUUCGCCUGUGAAGAUAAUGACUGUAGCAGGUAAAGAAACCCCGGCUAACUCCGUGCCAGCAGCCGCGGUAAUACGGAGGGGGUUAGCGUUGUUCGGAAUUACUGGGCGUAAAGCGCGCGUAGGCUGACUAUUAAGUCAGGGGUGAAAUCCCGGGGCUCAACCCCGGAACGGCCCUUGAUACUGGUAGUCUUGAGUUCGAGAGAGGUGAGUGGAAUUCCGAGUGUAGAGGU